This 337-nucleotide ribosomal RNA is filed under the name Ruminococcus flavefaciens. RNAcentral describes it as "partial 16S ribosomal RNA". Lineage: Bacteria; Bacillati; Bacillota; Clostridia; Eubacteriales; Oscillospiraceae. The record is from RNAcentral.
GGAGUCUGGGCCGUGUCUCAGUCCCAAUGUGGCCGUUCAACCUCUCAGUCCGGCUACUGAUCGUCGCCAUGGUGGGCCGUUACCUCACCAUCUAGCUAAUCAGACGCGAGCCCAUCUUUGAGUGAUAAAUCUUUGGUAGUAUGACCAUGCGGUCGCACUACGUUAUGAGGUAUUACCAUCCGUUUCCAGAAGCUAUCCCUCUCUCAAAGGCAGGUUGCUCACGUGUUACUCACCCGUCCGCCACUAAGAAUGUCUAAGUAAACUCAAACAUUCUCCGUUCGACUUGCAUGUGUUAAGCGUGCCGCCAGCGUCGUCCUGAGCCACUGAUCAAACUACU